RNAcentral lists this ribosomal RNA (274 nucleotides) under uncultured bacterium. Its description in RNAcentral is "partial 16S ribosomal RNA". It matches the Rfam family "Bacterial small subunit ribosomal RNA", at positions 523 to 796 of the family's 1533-position model. The record is from RNAcentral.
AUACAGAGGGUGCGAGCGUUAAUCGGAAUUACUGGGCGUAAAGCGCGCGUAGGCGGCUUGGUCAGUCGGAUGUGAAAGCCCCGGGCUCAACCUGGGAAUGGCAUUCGAUACUGCCAGGCUAGAGUAUGGGAGAGGGAAGUGGAAUUUCCGGUGUAGCGGUGAAAUGCGUAGAUAUCGGAAGGAACACCAGUGGCGAAGGCGACUUCCUGGCCCAAUACCGACGCUGAGGUGCGAAAGCGUGGGGAGCGAACAGGAUUAGAGACCCUUGUAGUCC